Oncorhynchus nerka (sockeye salmon) is the source of this 777-nucleotide long non-coding RNA. RefSeq lists it as uncharacterized. Lineage: Eukaryota; Metazoa; Chordata; Actinopteri; Salmoniformes; Salmonidae. The transcript is spliced from 3 exons. The record is from RefSeq and is a predicted model, not a curated record.
GAGACGUAAUGCAUCAGAAAGCGAAAGUGAAAAUAGUCUUCUGUAGUUUCCUUCUAAACUUUUGUAACUUUAAAAGAGAAGAGAACAUUCAUACAAAGGUAGCCUACAUCUCCCGAGCUAGAACAUCAACCUUGUGACAUAGAAUGGCAUCUGGUCCGGAAUCUGGGUCUUCUUCUGGCCAACCCUUCAACAUCUCAGCCAAUAAUGGGUCCAGUGUCAACGCUCCCAUAAUGACUGGUAACACCAUUGGGGCAGUCCAUUAUCAUACAGGCCCUUUGUCUGCGGCACCCCAGCACACCAGACCCUCCUGCCCCAUGGGGUCAUCAGUUCAUGAUUUCCUGAAAACACACAAGAAUGCUCUGGAGAACAGGAUGGGCAACCUUCGUCCCAUCCUCAGCAGUCUCAUAGACCUUGGGGUUCUGAGUGAGGAGGAUAGAGAGGAGAUAGAUAUCAAAACCACACGGACCAAGAAAAAUGAAGCUCUGCUGACCAUGGUUAAUAACAAGGGGAAAACUGCACAGGAACAGUUUUACCAGGCCCUGAAAAAAGCAGACCGUUCCUUGGUGGAAGACCUAGAGGGAUAAACGACCUCCUGAUACACUGCCGUAUCCAUAAUUGCCUAUUCCAUUCCGUUAUGAAAUAAGACCAAAUGUUUACGAAUAAAUCAUCCAAAUUAGGAUAGUUUAUUUAAAUUCCAUUAUAACAUGAAUUAGAAAGGUAAUUCCAAUGACAUUAUCUUAUCUGUCAUACCAUGAAUCAAUAAACACGUUUAUCUUA